UUAAUUAAGAUUUCUGAUAUUUACAAAAUGACGGGCAUCCUACUAAAAUGCUUCUUAUUUAAUCUCUCCCUGAAGGUUUGAACCAUUGCCCCUAAUUCGCAGAUGAAGAAAUUGAGGUCCAGGAAGAGUGAUUUACACAAUUAGGAAGUGACAGAGCCAGGAAGAAAACUCUUAAUGUAACUCUUUUCCACCUCUCUUAACUCUGUAAUGUAUGGGUUAACAUCCAGCUGAAGUCAGAAUUCCCUGGGCAGAGGACAAAAACAGAUUAAGGAGAAAAUACCCAUUUUGUUUGUGGCUGUACAGCCCAUCUUGUCUUCAUAGCAGCUCAUCAGAAAAUCCCAUGAUCUGUUUGUUCAUUCAUUCAACAAACAUGUGCUGAGUCGGCCUAUGAGCCAGGCGCUGCACUCAGGCAAUGCAACAAGCAGACAUUAAUAUCUGCCUUCGGGGAGCUGACAUUCUAGUCGGGUAGGGUUUUGGGGGAGACAGGCAAUAAACAAUAAGUGUAAGAAAACAGUAAUUUAAUUGUAUAUUAAAAUAAGUGCUAUGAGAAAAGCAGAGCCUGAUAAGGGGGCUUGAGAGUAUUGGGGAGGUAGGAGAAGAUUGCAGUUAUAAAUAGGGUCGCCAGGGUAGGAUUCAUUGAGAAGACAGAGAGGGCAUCACCUUCUGCUGCCUUAGGAAACAGUUUUCUAGGCAGAGGGAAUGGCCUGGGCAAUGGUUCUGCGGCUAGAGGGGGCUUGGAACAGGAGGACGGCUGCAGGGCUAGAGAGGAGGGAGGAGGUAAGAGAAGGGGAGAGAAUGAUGGGGUAUAAGGUCUGGAGGAUGGGGACAGGUCACAUCCUGUAGGAUUUUGUAGAUCAUUAUAAAGACUGCUUUUCACUCUGGAUGCCAUGGGAGGCCAUCAGGGGAGUGACAUGAUCCGACGCUCAUUUUAACCAGAUGGCUCUACCUCUGCUGAGAGUAGCUACAGAGCCAUGGAUGGAAGCAGAACACCAGGUAAGAGGCACUCCAGGAAAUCCAGCUGACCGACGAUGGUGGCCAGAGACCGAGGAGGAUCUGUUGCCCCCUUCAGUUGUAGAUGACCUGGAUAAAUAGCUCUGCCGUCCUCCGAAGAAGGAAAUCUCUCAGUGACCAUUUGCCUGAGGAAGCUCACCCAUUUAGACUGUCACCAGCAUGGUCAUUCUUGCUGGUGAGUAUUGGACAAAUCAGAAAAUGACUCCACCAGAUAGGUGUCCUUGAGAGGCCAGACCUCAGAAGGUGAAUUCCCUUCAGUUGUAGAUGACCUGGAUAAAUAGCUCUGCUGUCCUCCGAAGAAAGAAAUCUCUCAGUGACCAUUUCCCUGAGGAAGCUCACCCGUUUUGACUGUCACCAGCAUGUUCAUUCUCACUGGUGAGUAUUGACAAAUCGGAAAAUGACUCCACCAGCUAGGUAUCCUUGAGAGGCCAGACCUCAGAAGGUGAUCAAGAAUACAAGCUUCUACCUGUUGUCUCUCACCUGUUUCCUGGAGGCCUGUGUCCCAGGCUUUAGCAAGUGUGAGCCACCCACAUCUGCCUGAGGAAAUUGGCCCUCAGUUGGCAGCCACUAGCCCUGAGCCAGAGUCUCUGCUGUGAGGCUGCAGCAGCGGCAUCUGUUACCCUCUCCCCACAUCCAGGCGGCCCUGAGUCACACAGCUUUGCACUGUUUCCCUCUCCAGUUCGCAUUCAAACCCCUUGAAACAUAGCUCCACUAACAGAGGAACGGUGUCCUAAAGGGACUCUUGAUAAGACAACCCAAAACAUAAGCUAUGACGUUGAAUACUGGCCCUCACGGUCUGAUUCCUGGAACCUGCGCACGUUACCUUGCAUGACAAAAGGGAUUGUGCAGACUAAGUAAGAGAGUUUGAAAUGGAGAUAGCACCCUGAUGGUACUUUCCAGGGGGGCCUGAUCUCGUCCCAUGACUUCUUAAAGAGGACAAUCUUCAGAGGGAGACAUGACAAGAAGAAUGGUCAGAGAGAUGCCAAACGCAGCUGGCUGGUGGAGGAAGGCGUCAUGGCCAAGGAUGUGGGCGGCCUCUGGGGGAGGAAGAGGUAAGGAAAUCGAUUCUCCCUGGAAAGAAGCACAGCCAGCUUCCAGGAAGGAACACAGCCCUGUUAACACCUUGAUUUUAGUCCAGUGAGUCCUGGGUAGGACUUCUGACCUCCAGAAUUUGCGUUAUUUUAAGCCAUUGAAUUUGUAAUAAUUUGCUAUAACAGCAACAGGAAAUUAAGACAAGUAUUCUGGCUGAAAGUGUUUAAUGUGAAUCUGACAAAGGGUCUAUAGUUCCUCUAGAUUGAAGGAAAUACAGGGGCUGAGGGAGCAAAUUAAAUGACAGCAGGAGGAAACAGCAGAAACCCAAAACAUGGCAUGUUUUGAAGACAACUAGCCUGGAUUAUUUUAAAAGCACUGUUAAGGAUAAGAAAUUCAGGAGGGACUGCUUUGGACUAAAAUUGAAGAGACGAACAAAAGGAGCAUGUGAUACUCGAUUAGAUCCUGAUUCAAAAAAAGAAGGGAAAGAAAACUACACAUGUGGAGAAGUUUAAAUAUAAAAAUGUUAUUCCUAACUGCUGGAAUAUAUAAGGGUAAACUAUCAUAGUGACUGCAGCUUAAUUUCAAAUAAUUCUGAAGAAAAGGUACAGAAAGGAGGGAGGGAGGGAGAAAAAUAGAGUAAGGAAAGAGAAAGAAAGAAUAUAAAUAUGACAAAAUGUUAACUGCCCAGUCUGGGUGGAACAUUUCUGCUACAAUGAGUUGGUUCUAUAGUCUUUCAAUUUUUCUUCUAUUUGAAGAUGUUCACAAUAAAACUUGAGAUGAGGAGAAACCUGAGCUGUUGGAGAAUUUUAAGACAGAACAGCCGUCAUGGCAAAUGCUAUAUACAUAGAUGGAUGUCUGUGUUGGGUUUUACAGUGUCUUCCAUUCAUGUGCUAAUUCAUUCAUUUAUUUUUUUCAUUUACAUACUUAUCAAGCAUGCAUUGUCUUCUCUUUCAAGGUCCCUAGUUAAGCCACAGAGCUCACAGGUGGAGAACUCCUCCCAGAGGAGGGAAUGCACCUGUUGAAAUUUCCUGCUGUGCUCUAGGCAGUUGGCUAGCCUGGAGUGAGAAAGACCCACUUCUGGAUGAAGCAGAAAGAGAUCUUAGCAACUGUCUCCCCUGGUCAGAGAGAAAGGAAGGGAAUGGGAAAGAUCUUCUGGAGGCUGGCAGGCUGUGCUCUGCCGCAAUCCCAGGACUCACCAAACAGGGCACUUGGCCCAGAGACCACCCAUCUGCCAGAGCCAGGCAGAAUCAUUCAUUCUGCCCAUCAGCUAAAGUUUCUUGAUCCCUAUGGUGUGUCAGGAGCCAAUCUUGAUGCUAUGGGUUCACAGCGGAGCAACCAGAGUUCCUACGCUUGUGGCGUUUAUGUUCUUUUUGAGGCUGGGGAUGAGAAAUAAGCGAAUAAAAGAGUAAAGGUGAUGUCAGGCAGUGAGAAAUGCUGCAAAGACAAACGAAGCAGAGUGCUGGGGGGUGGGGGUGUAGAGAGAAGCCUGUGCAGUGGGGAUAUCCUCCUGAGAAGGCGGUCUUUGCAAGGAGGCCCGAGUGAAGUGAGGAAUUCACCACCGGGACCUGUGGGAGGAGGAAAAGCAUGAGCAGAGCCCGGGUGGAGAAUGUUCUCAGUGUGUUCAAGCACGGGGACAGUGUGGGAGAUGGCAGGAAAAGAGGCUGUGGGGUAAUAGUAAUCGUUUUUAAAAUUUCGUCUCUGUUCUUGGUUCCUGCCGGGAGAGUGCCUAUAAUCCUUAGGAUUUCCUGAGUGACAGAGGUGAUAGGACUGUCUUUUGUUGUUUGUAACAAACAACAAACCACACCCUUUCAACCACACCGAAUUAUGUUGAGUCUGUUUUUCCUGUUUCAGCCAGCAACAGUUCGCCCUCAGGUGGGAAAGAUUUGAAUUUACAUCUCUGUCACUCCCAAGGGUCAUCUGAAUUCGCCAGCUGUCAUAAUCAUCAGAAGGGGUUUGGACUUGACUCAGGUCCAAAACAUAAUAAUACAUUAUAUUUAUGACAUUAUGAUAAUAUCAAAAACAUAAGAGCAAGCUAAGACUGACUUAAAUGCCAUGGUGACUCACAUAACCAACAGGGUGGGUUAAAAAAUCGAACGAAGAUCCAAGGGCCCACCCACUCAAUGAAAUUCUUAAGAAUCUGGACAGGUGCCACCCAGGACAUUCCCCAGGUGACUGAAAAUAAACUGCUGCUGUCACACACCCAUAGGACCAAACAAGAGGCCCGAUAUUGGGUUGGUUUAUUCAGAUUUGGGAGGAGCACAGAUUCAACAUCUGGAAAUAUUGUUAAUUCCUAUCCAUACGAUCCCCAAAAGAUCACGUUAGAGCAGGAAGCUGAACUUACACAGGCUGUGUCUGAAUUAGAAAAAGCAGCCGCUCUCUCAGCACCUCUGAACCCUAAGAUGCCCAGUCAAUAUGAUUUGGGGGAGUGUCUGCCGCUGGGUGUGCAGAAUGGAAACUACGGCAAAAGUCUGUGUGUGUCUCCCAGUGGUGACCACUAAAUUUUGGACGAAGAUUUCCACACUACUUGAGAGACAAUUACUAGCUUGCCUUUAGGCAUCUGAGAUCACCUCGAUGCCUGAAGGACAUGAAAUAACCGUAAAACCUGAGAUACCCAUAGCGUCUCGGAUGACGUCAGAAAAACACUCUAAUAAGGAAGGCAGUGCCCAGAGAAGGUCCAUAAUAAAAUGAAAAUCAUUUCUACAGGAACAAGCUACCAGGGGAAUCAAAGAGGCACCCACUGCAUCCACAGGCAGGCAGCCUCUUUUCCCUGAAGACUGACUUUGGAACCACCUGAGGACCUGCAGGGACCUAAUGCCACUUGGACAGUCCCAAGAGCAGCAAUCAAACUGACCGACAAAGAGCUCCUUAGUUUAUGGACGGCAUUUCCAAGGGCAAUGGGCAGUAUCCUGUUUGGAAAAAGGCAACAUCAAGACCAGUGGAUAGAAACACUCUGAUUGAGGAAAGUAAGAAUAAAUCAGCUCAGCAGGCUGAAUCGCAUGUUCUUUUCACGGCAGUGAUAGAAGAACUGAACAAUAGUGAAAAUGAGUUUUUACCAACUCAUGGCCAGUAGCCAGCAUGGUCAUGUAAAUGGCAACGGACAAAUGACUAUUAGAGGUCUGCUGUUAGAGGUCCAUCCCUGUGGAAAUCACUCUGGGAAUUCAAGGGGCUCAAAAGUAAGACUGUUGAUGCCCAUCAGAAGAACUCCUUUCCAGGUUCAGAAGGCGACCGGAACCAAGUGGGCCUUUUGGUGUACUCCCCUGGCCACCUGGAUCCAUCUGGAGAUGGGGUGGUUGCAGCAAUGCAGAGAUGGACCUUAAAAGGAAGCAGAGCAUUUUCCUGAGGUCGGUGAGUCAUAGAAGCAAAUUAUGGAAUCUGAUCAGUAUUAUGCCCGUUUUACAAUUACAGUAAAAGUAUGGCUCCGAAAUCAUGGGUAACUUACACAUGGCUGCACACAUGGGCAUGGGUGAAACAAAAUUUGAGUUCAGGCCUGUCUGACGAUGUCUGCCUGCAAAGGGAGGAGCAGAACGAGUGUGGAGGCCUCCCUGGCUGCACAAGGAUUCUUUAGGUGGCAGAAUGGAAGUUUGGGAUGAGAGGCAACUGCUCAGCUGUGGCUGAAAAGUGCAGGAGAAGUAAGAGCAAUACAGUUCCUGAGAUUGGGCCAAAGGCUUUAUAGCCAGACAAAAAAGGGAUAAUGUGGUUAAAAAGGUGUGCCUGAUCAAAUAGGUGCAUUUUUAUUCCUUUUAGAACAUGCUGCCCUGCUGCUCUACAUGACACUGGAUCAAUGGGCUUCUCUGCUUUAGGAAAAGGGCUAAUCAGAAGUCAGUUUAAUUAGCUCCAUACACAAAAGGCACAAAUUUCCAGUUAUAAAAUAAUAAGUCCUGGGGAUAUAAUGUAUAGCAUGGUGACUAUAGUUAAUAAUACUCUAUUGCAUAUUUGAAAAUUACUAAGAGAGUAGAUUUUAAAAGUUCUCAUCACAAAGACAAAAAUUUUGUAACUAUGUAUGGUGGCAUAUAUUAACUAGACUUAUUGUCAUGAUCAUUUGGCAAUAAAUAAAAAUACCAAAACACUGUAUUGUACACCUGAAACUAAUGUAAUGUCAUAUGUUUUUACUUCGAUAAAAAAAAAUGUGAAGUUUAUCAAUAUAGAGACAGUCAUUAAUAUAAUGUAUCAUAUUCUUAGAUUCAAGAAGAAAAUCAUGUUACUAUUUCCAUAAGUGCUAAGUAACUUAGGACACAUUUCCAUAUUCAUUCCUGAAAAAAGAGAAUCAUUUCUUAGCCUUGACCCCUAAAAUUGACUUUCUCGGGUCUCUAAGGAGAGAGCAGUGUUAAAUACCAGGGUUUUUGCAGGAGGAAAAGGCUCUCUAUAUUGGAAAAGUUUCCCCUUACUUCUCAGGAACUAAACGUGGCAAUCUAGGAUCACAGAGUCACCGCACAGGCCAGAGGGAAGACCCCAGAUAUCAUGUAGGUAAUCCUUCUUGGUACAAGAAGAAGUACAAGAAAAAUAGGGCAAAGGGGUCAGAAAGAGUGUCCUGGCUCCGCCCACUA
Molecule: long non-coding RNA, 6587 nt
Organism: Manis pentadactyla (Chinese pangolin)
Lineage: Eukaryota; Metazoa; Chordata; Mammalia; Pholidota; Manidae
Exons: 3
Source: RefSeq, a predicted model, not a curated record